Aegilops tauschii subsp. strangulata is the source of this 1733-nucleotide long non-coding RNA. RefSeq lists it as uncharacterized. NCBI's taxonomy places the organism in Eukaryota, Viridiplantae, Streptophyta, Magnoliopsida, Poales, Poaceae. The record is from RefSeq and is a predicted model, not a curated record.
AGAAUGCCCAUGCCUGUGGUCCAGCUAUGUAUUGGAGUAUUUGACACUGUUGACCUGAUUUUGGCCCAUUUGGCCUAACAUUUCCAUAAAUAUCCUUUUGCACUUUCUGUGUUUGAGUCAUUGAGAGAUGGCAAGUUGACUAGUGAUACAUGUCCAAAUGUAUUUAGCUCAGCAAACAAAAAAUUCUGGGGCUUUGGUCUGGUACCACCAGCCACCAGGACCCACCAUGUUACCAUGGGGCUUUGGCAGUGUUUUCUCACUUUCUGGGUGGGGUUACCAUAACCUUGUUUGCUAGCCAGUAUAUACCAGUGUUCUGUUUGCCUAGUGAUUUGAAUUCAUGAUUGAACUUUUGAGCUACCUUUAGUCAGGUCUGCUGACAUUUGACAGCUUCUGUCGAUAACUUACUUUGAUAUUACAUUUUUCUGCAUGAUGAUGAAUGCUGAUCUGUGCUUCUUCUUUUAUUUUGAGGUUAAGAUGUGUCCUUGUUCUUGCAGGAGUACCUCCAUUUCUUCUGUAACCCUCCACUCUGCCACAGAGACAUCAAGUCGAGCAACAUUCUUUUGGACGAAAACUUUGUUGCCAAGGUUGCUGAUUUCGGCCUUGCGCACGCAUCGAGAACUGGUGCUAUCAGCUUUGAAGCUGUCAACACAGAUAUACGCGGAACUCCAGGUUUGAAUUUCGCCUGUAGAUCUGAACUGUUUGGAAGUUACUUUGUGUCUCCCACUAUGGAUAGCAGAAGGUCACUGAGUGAGUAAGUGUAGCAAGUACUAUCAAACAUAGACAAGAACUCGUGCAGAAAUGCAGUAUAGUUUUUCCUUUUUCUCAUUUUCUUAGUGGAAGAAAUGUAGUUUAGUGGGAGGUAAUCUGGUGAUGCAAUGGCACAACAUGGGUAAGAAAAGGAAGCAUCUUGUGCUUAUGAGUCGUAGAGCAGCAUACAUACGGAGCAUGUUACUUUGCUGCCUGUAAAUUCCUGGCAAACCUCAACCACUAGUAGUCACAUGGAGUAACAUCCAAAUCCAGUCUCACCAUGCUUUGGAUCACCGACACAUCCCUUCUCUCUAUACUCCAGCACAAUAAUCCUCAGACAAACAAGCACCAGAAAGAAGAACUUGAGCAGAGUAUAGGACUACCACCUUCUCACUAGUAGUUUCAGUAUGGUUUCAGUAUAGUUUCAGUAGCCAAUUUGCUAUUCACUUUGUGCUAUUAGUUUGCUUCCAUCUUUGUGCCCACUCCGAAGAGUAUUCGUAUAUGCUUGGAACUAAACAGAAUUAUACAAUGAACUUCUGCAGGCUGAUCUGAGUUGGACCAUCCUCUGCAGCCAACUUCUCUUCGGCAAGAGGAAGAAAGGAGAAUCAGGGUACGGAUAUCAUUGCAUACCUGCGCAUAUAUUUCUGUUGUGAGCAUAACUCCAGAAUUUAUUUAUCUGUGAUUCGUAUUGGGUUAAUAAUCUGCAGCUAGUUGUAUUUUUAAUUCACUAGCCUUUUACUUAUACAUGAGAGAAGUGGGAAGCUAAGUCAAUAGGAGCUAAACUCAACCCUUGGCUUGUUACGUGAGCUCAAACUAGUACCUAGUGAGUGUUUCAUGUACUGAACUUGGAUUUCCGGUGUUUUUGUAACAUCCAUGUAAGGUUUCGUUCGGUAUAUUAAAUCCUAUGAAAUUAUCAAAGUGUGUUGUACUAUGUUGGACAGAAUUUUAUGUUUGGACUUGGGUGAAUGUAAACAGACUUAUACUCU